GACGAACCGUGCGAACGUUGUUCGGAAUCACUGGGCUUAAAGGGCGCGUAGGCGGACCUCCAAGUCCGGGGUGAAAUCUUUCGGCUUAACCGGAAAAGUGCCUUGGAUACUGGGGUCUCGAGGGAGGCAGGGGCGGAUGGAACUUCCGGUGGAGCGGUGAAAUGCGUUGAUAUCGGAAGGAACGCCGGUGGCGAAAGCGAUCCGCUGGACCUCUACUGACGCUGAGGCGCGAAAGCCAGGGGAGCAAACGGG
RNAcentral lists this ribosomal RNA (252 nucleotides) under uncultured bacterium. RNAcentral describes it as "partial 16S ribosomal RNA". It matches the Rfam family "Bacterial small subunit ribosomal RNA", at positions 524 to 776 of the family's 1533-position model. The record is from RNAcentral.